GCUGGUGUAGUGGUUUAGCACUCAGCUGCUAACUGAAAGGUUGGUGGUUUGAACCUACCCAACAGCU
Molecule: transfer RNA, 67 nt
Organism: Loxodonta africana (African savanna elephant)
Lineage: Eukaryota; Metazoa; Chordata; Mammalia; Proboscidea; Elephantidae
Rfam family: tRNA
About the family: Transfer RNA (tRNA) molecules are approximately 80 nucleotides in length.
Source: Rfam